UCGGAGGCAUCAAGGAUUCUAGGCAGC
Molecule: non-coding RNA, 27 nt
Filed under: Homo sapiens (human)
Lineage: Eukaryota; Metazoa; Chordata; Mammalia; Primates; Hominidae
Source: RNAcentral